This 1451-nucleotide long non-coding RNA is filed under the name Homo sapiens (human). RNAcentral's name for it is "PREDICTED lncRNA (TCONS_00025403)". Lineage: Eukaryota; Metazoa; Chordata; Mammalia; Primates; Hominidae. The record is from RNAcentral.
ACCUCUAGCCAGGGACGCGCGCUCGGUCCCCCGCCGUGCGCCCCCGGUCCCGCGCCCAGGCUCCCGCCCCUGGCCUCCUUACCAGCCACUUGUCGCCCAGCUGCGAACUGGAGCGGGAGGCGGCGGCCGGAGGGCCCAGGACAGCCCCGGGAGGGCGGCGAGGCGGAGCAGGAGCGCCCCGGCUCCGGCCACAUUCUCAGAGUCAGGAAAAGGGGCGAGAGGCCACAUGUCUCCCUCUCGCCCAACUGAAAACGAAACGGCGCUCCAGCAGAUUGGGUGGAAAGAGCUGGGUCUCUUUUCUCUGUUUUUCACGCUAGAAAGGGCUUGUAAACAUUGUUCCUUUUAAAAUGACCUACCCCAGGCAUUUGUUUGGGCACACUUCUGUCCUGGGGUCAUCGUUCCUAGGUGGCUUCGGACCUGGGACUUUUCCUGUAUCUGCACAUUGUCGUUUUAUACACAAUUGCCAAGGUGGGACUGCUUUCAACUUUACUGUGCUUGAAGCUGCAAAGGUUCUGCCCUGAUGUUUCCUGGAAUAAUGCUGAGGACUGCCUUUCGGGUAGCCGCCCUAUUCAGUUCACUUCAUCUCGGAAAUACCUGACCCCUGCCUUGGAUCCAGCGGCCCUCCUGAGAGCUGAGGAAGGAGGAAAUCCUAUGUGUCUGCUCCCGGAGCUGCCACAACCCAUCUUCCCACAACUCGGAACUUGGAAAAAGGAACCCAGGACACGACUUUGCUUUUCUUUUGGACCUAGUUGCAACUUUUAAAAGCCUUUCCACUGCACAGUGAAAGAAAACCACAAACUCCUUGUUUAAUAAGUGGGAUCACGUGCUUUUAACACGAGGAAAAGGUCAAUCUGAAGCAACUGAUAUGGAACUGCCAGAGUAGGAGUUGAAAAUCUUCCUAAACUGCUGGAGGAUACACCUCUGAUAGCUUGAGACAAAUAUCCUCUUGAUCAUUGUUUCACCAUAUUUGUCUUUGCUCAUGGAGAACCAUUUUGAUCCGUGGUUUAGCCUCCCAGGUGAUUGAACAAUACCGGUGAUCUGAGGCAGACCCUCUGUGACGGAUAACAGAAAAGAAAAUUGAGGAUCAGAAAAUACGCACAAUUUGCAAAAACCAUGGGAAAGAAUAUUGAUUGAACAUCUACUCAAGAACUGCAAAACAGAGAUUACCUGACCUAAAGAUGAAUCCAGGAUUCGGUGGUGCCUGUUCCAGGAACCUUUAGUGUGAAGGAUCCUCCAGGUGAGAGAAGCCUUUAUGUCUUCUGAAAUGGUUCUGCUGUGUCCCCACCCAAAUCUUGUAUUGAAGCUCCCAUAAUUCCCGCGUGCUGUGGGAGGGACCCAGUGGGAGAUAAUUGAAUCAUGGAGGCAGUUUCCCCCAUACUGUUCUUGUGGUAGUGAAUAAAUCUCACCAGAUCUGAUGAUUUUAUAAGAGGUUUCCCCUUUCACUUGGCUCU